GGUUAAGCGACUAAGCGUACACGGUGGAUGCCCUGGCAGUCAGAGGCGAUGAAGGACGUGCUAAUCUGCGAUAAGCGUCGGUAAGGUGAUAUGAACCGUUAUAACCGGCGAUUUCCGAAUGGGGAAACCCAGUGUGAUUCGUCACACUAUCAUUAACUGAAUCCAUAGGUUAAUGAGGCGAACCGGGGGAACUGAAACAUCUAAGUACCCCGAGGAAAAGAAAUCAACCGAGAUUCCCCCAGUAGCGGCGAGCGAACGGGGAGCAGCCCAGAGCCUGAAUCAGUGUGUGUGUUAGUGGAAGCGUCUGGAAAGGCGCGCGAUACAGGGUGACAGCCCCGUACACAAAAAUGCACAUGCUGUGAGCUCGAUGAGUAGGGCGGGACACGUGGUAUCCUGUCUGAAUAUGGGGGGACCAUCCUCCAAGGCUAAAUACUCCUGACUGACCGAUAGUGAACCAGUACCGUGAGGGAAAGGCGAAAAGAACCCCGGCGAGGGGAGUGAAAAAGAACCUGAAACCGUGUACGUACAAGCAGUGGGAGCACGCUUAGGCGUGUGACUGCGUACCUUUUGUAUAAUGGGUCAGCGACUUAUAUUCUGUAGCAAGGUUAACCGAAUAGGGGAGCCGAAGGGAAACCGAGUCUUAACUGGGCGUUAAGUUGCAGGGUAUAGACCCGAAACCCGGUGAUCUAGCCAUGGGCAGGUUGAAGGUUGGGUAACACUAACUGGAGGACCGAACCGACUAAUGUUGAAAAAUUAGCGGAUGACUUGUGGCUGGGGGUGAAAGGCCAAUCAAACCGGGAGAUAGCUGGUUCUCCCCGAAAGCUAUUUAGGUAGCGCCUCGUGAACUCAUCUCCGGGGGUAGAGCACUGUUUCGGCAAGGGGGUCAUCCCGACUUACCAACCCGAUGCAAACUGCGAAUACCGGAGAAUGUUAUCACGGGAGACACACGGCGGGUGCUAACGUCCGUCGUGAAGAGGGAAACAACCCAGACCGCCAGCUAAGGUCCCAAAGUCAUGGUUAAGUGGGAAACGAUGUGGGAAGGCCCAGACAGCCAGGAUGUUGGCUUAGAAGCAGCCAUCAUUUAAAGAAAGCGUAAUAGCUCACUGGUCGAGUCGGCCUGCGCGGAAGAUGUAACGGGGCUAAACCAUGCACCGAAGCUGCGGCAGCGACGCUUAUGCGUUGUUGGGUAGGGGAGCGUUCUGUAAGCCUGUGAAGGUGUGCUGUGAGGCAUGCUGGAGGUAUCAGAAGUGCGAAUGCUGACAUAAGUAACGAUAAAGCGGGUGAAAAGCCCGCUCGCCGGAAGACCAAGGGUUCCUGUCCAACGUUAAUCGGGGCAGGGUGAGUCGACCCCUAAGGCGAGGCCGAAAGGCGUAGUCGAUGGGAAACAGGUUAAUAUUCCUGUACUUGGUGUUACUGCGAAGGGGGGACGGAGAAGGCUAUGUUGGUCGGGCGACGGUUGUCCCGGUUUAAGCGUGUAGGCUGGUUUUCCAGGCAAAUCCGGAAAAUCAAGGCUGAGGCGUGAUGACGAGGCACUACGGUGCUGAAGCAACAAAUGCCCUGCUUCCAGGAAAAGCCUCUAAGCAUCAGGUAACAUCAAAUCGUACCCCAAACCGACACAGGUGGUCAGGUAGAGAAUACCAAGGCGCUUGAGAGAACUCGGGUGAAGGAACUAGGCAAAAUGGUGCCGUAACUUCGGGAGAAGGCACGCUGAUAUGUAGGUGAAGUCCCUCGCGGAUGGAGCUGAAAUCAGUCGAAGAUACCAGCUGGCUGCAACUGUUUAUUAAAAACACAGCACUGUGCAAACACGAAAGUGGACGUAUACGGUGUGACGCCUGCCCGGUGCCGGAAGGUUAAUUGAUGGGGUCAGCGCAAGCGAAGCUCUUGAUCGAAGCCCCGGUAAACGGCGGUACGUAACUAUAACGGUCCUAAGGUAGCGAAAUUCCUUGUCGGGUAAGUUCCGACCUGCACGAAUGGCGUAAUGAUGGCCAGGCUGUCUCCACCCGAGACUCAGUGAAAUUGAACUCGCUGUGAAGAUGCAGUGUACCCGCGGCAAGACGGAAAGACCCCGUGAACCUUUACUAUAGCUUGACACUGAACAUUGAGCCUUGAUGUGUAGGAUAGGUGGGAGGCUUAGAAGUGUGGACGCCAGUCUGCAUGGAGCCGACCUUGAAAUACCACCCUUUAAUGUUUGAUGUUCUAACGUUGACCCGUAAUCCGGGUUGCGGACAGUGUCUGGUGGGUAGUUUGACUGGGGCGGUCUCCUCCUAAAGAGUAACGGAGGAGCACGAAGGUUGGCUAAUCCUGGUCGGACAUCAGGAGGUUAGUGCAAUGGCAUAAGCCAGCUUGACUGCGAGCGUGACGGCGCGAGCAGGUGCGAAAGCAGGUCAUAGUGAUCCGGUGGUUCUGAAUGGAAGGGCCAUCGCUCAACGGAUAAAAGGUACUCCGGGGAUAACAGGCUGAUACCGCCCAAGAGUUCAUAUCGACGGCGGUGUUUGGCACCUCGAUGUCGGCUCAUCACAUCCUGGGGCUGAAGUAGGUCCCAAGGGUAUGGCUGUUCGCCAUUUAAAGUGGUACGCGAGCUGGGUUUAGAACGUCGUGAGACAGUUCGGUCCCUAUCUGCCGUGGGCGCUGGAGAACUGAGGGGGCUGCUCCUAGUACGAGAGGACCGGAGUGGACGCAUCACUGGUGUUCGGGUUGUCAUGCCAAUGGCACUGCCCGGUAGCUAAAUGCGGAAGAGAUAAGUGCUGAAAGCAUCUAAGCACGAAACUUGCCCCGAGAUGAGUUCUCCCUGACUCCUUGAGAGUCCUGAAGGAACGUUGAAGACGACGACGUUGAUAGGCCGGGUGUGUAAGCGCAGCGAUGCGUUGAGCUAACCGGUACUAAUGAACCGUGAGGCUUAACCUU
RNAcentral lists this ribosomal RNA (2904 nucleotides) under Escherichia coli. Its description in RNAcentral is "23S ribosomal RNA". It matches the Rfam family "Bacterial large subunit ribosomal RNA". Lineage: Bacteria; Pseudomonadati; Pseudomonadota; Gammaproteobacteria; Enterobacterales; Enterobacteriaceae. The record is from RNAcentral.